GACGAAGGAUGCAAGCGUUAUCCGGAUUCAUUGGGUUUAAAGGGAGCGUAGGCGGACUUGUAAGUCAGUGGUGAAAUCUGUGGGCUUAACCCACAAACUGCCAUUGAUACUGCAGGUCUAGAGUACAGUUGCCGUUGGCGGAAUAUGACAUGUAGUGGUGAAAUACUUAGAUAUGUCAUAGAACACCGAUUGCGAAGGCAGCUAACGAAGCUGUAACUGACGCUGAGGCUCGAAAAGUGCGGGGAUCAAACAGG
RNAcentral lists this ribosomal RNA (254 nucleotides) under uncultured bacterium. RNAcentral describes it as "partial 16S ribosomal RNA". It matches the Rfam family "Bacterial small subunit ribosomal RNA", at positions 524 to 776 of the family's 1533-position model. The record is from RNAcentral.